RNAcentral lists this ribosomal RNA (253 nucleotides) under uncultured bacterium. RNAcentral describes it as "partial 16S ribosomal RNA". It matches the Rfam family "Bacterial small subunit ribosomal RNA", at positions 524 to 776 of the family's 1533-position model. The record is from RNAcentral.
UACAGAGGAGCCAAGCGUUGUCCGGAUUGACUGGGCGUAAAGCGCACGCAGGCGGGGGUGCGCGUGGGGUGUGAAAUCUGGCCGCUUAACGGCCAGGCGCCAUCCCAUACGGCACGCCUGGAGCCUUGCAGAGGUCGGUGGAAUUGCCGGUGUAGUGGUGAAAUGCGUAGAGAUCGGCAGGAACACCCAGGGGGAAACCAGCCGACUGGGCAAGUGCUGACGCUGAGGUGCGAGAGCGUGGGGAGCGAACAGG